UUGCUGCAUGAUCAGUCCUGUCUUUGGCAGCCACGGCUGCCACAAGUGACAGCCUUGAUGAGAACCACGGCAGUAAUUGCUUGUUUAGUCGUAACGUCACAAAGUUUCCGGGUCCAAAGUCACAAAGGCGCUCCUGUUUAAUAUGUUGCAGUGCUGUGUCCCGUGCUGUUUAAAUAGAUCAGAUUUAAAAAAAAAACGUCAGUUGUCAUUUUACUGCUUUCCCUGUGAUGAGAAAGAGAAGAGGAAAUGGCUGCAACUGACAAGUUUCAUUGCAGCUGAUGUAUACAUAAAGCUAUUAUGCUCCCACACCAUGUGAUAUAUGCUACAAUCCAUACAACUGUUUGCUCCAUCACCUAUGGCACAAAGUGUCUGACAGCUUCCGCCGUGAUGAGAAAGCAGUACCUUGCCUCUCUGGAUUUUAAUCAGGUCACCAAUGCACAACUGUCAUGUGCCACCCUGAGAAUCAAGCCAAGGGACAGUUGUCUAGGAAAGCUGUGCUGUAGUGCAUUCUCCAUUAUAUGGCCGUACAUUGGGAGUGUGACACAUCACACUGUAUGCUACAUGGUCAGAGGAGCAGGCACUGACCUUUGUCUGCUGUUAUUGACCCCAUGCCCACCACAUGAAGUUUCCGUAACACAUCACAUUGCUUGCUACAUGUGAAGAAUAAGAUGGGCUGGCCUGUGCCUUAUCUUCAUGUCACUGACACCAUGUUCACCACAUCAAGUUUCUCUGCACCUGUUUUCCUGAUGGGCAAAGUCUUCUCUGAAGGACUUGGACAGUGCGGACAGACUGCAUGAACUAUGCACAGAUACCUGAAGUCAAACCUGCCACAAAUCAUCUCCACACACUAUUGACUGACAGCAAAGGUACCUUGAGUAAAAUGUGCUGUUGCUUCUGGAUGUUUAUUGUUACGUUGUGUCACAGUUUUUUUUUUUUUAGUAUUCAAUCAGUUAUUUCAACUUUUACUCUGCAAUAAUGAAAUAUUAAUAAUGGGUUGUAACUUUAUUGUAUUGGGGAACAUAUUUUAUAAUUUACAGUCAUGAUGUCAUGGUUAAAUUGGUAAAAUAACGAUCCAGCUUUGAUUGUGAUACCUGUGUUGACUUACACUACAUUGUAUAUUCAGAAUAAGAUUGCCAUGUUGGGGGUUGUGGAGUAUAUAUAUCAGUGCCACUAUCACACUUUCUGCUCUUUGUACACUGUUCAUGUAAGAAUGUUUUGCACAUCAUAUGUGAAAUAUUAUGUCAAUUGUGCUGGCUCAACUAUUGUGGUCUCGAUGUACUUCAUCAGCCUCCUCAAACAAUAACACAAAUGUAAAAAUGUGGUUAAGACAAAUGUAGUUAAUUGCAAUUUUAAAAUGUAUAUAAUGUGUUUUCUACUGUGUCUCGACUAAUAAUGAAGAUUACAAUCAUUAUUACAAUCAUCA
Long non-coding RNA from Paramormyrops kingsleyae, 1423 nucleotides. RefSeq lists it as uncharacterized. The record is from RefSeq and is a predicted model, not a curated record. NCBI's taxonomy places the organism in Eukaryota, Metazoa, Chordata, Actinopteri, Osteoglossiformes, Mormyridae.